This 497-nucleotide ribosomal RNA is filed under the name uncultured bacterium. RNAcentral's name for it is "partial 16S ribosomal RNA". It matches the Rfam family "Bacterial small subunit ribosomal RNA", at positions 28 to 507 of the family's 1533-position model. The record is from RNAcentral.
GAUGAACGCUGGCGGCGUGCCUAAUACAUGCAAGUCGAGCGAACGGACGAGAGGCUUGCUUCUCUGAUGUUAGCGGCGGACGGGUGAGUAACACGUGGAUAACCUACCUAUAAGACUGGGAUAACUUCGGAAAACCGGAGCUAAUACCGGAUAAUAUUUUGAACCGCAUGGUUCAAAAGUGAAAGACGGUCUUGCUGUCACUUAUAGAUGGAUCCGCGCUGCAUUAGCUAGUUGGUAAGGUAACGGCUUACCAAGGCAACGAUGCAUAGCCGACCUGAGAGGGUGAUCGGCCACACUGGAACUGAGACACGGUCCAGACUCCUACGGGAGGCAGCAGUAGGGAAUCUUCCGCAAUGGGCGAAAGCCUGACGGAGCAACGCCGCGUGAGUGAUGAAGGUCUUCGGAUCGUAAAACUCUGUUAUUAGGGAAGAACAUAUGUGUAAGUAACUGUGCACAUCUUGACGGUACCUAAUCAGAAAGCCACGGCUAACUACGUG